UACGUAGGGUCCGAGCGUUGUCCGGAAUUAUUGGGCGUAAAGGGCUCGUAGGCGGGCUGUUGCGUCGGGAGUGAAAAUUCACAGCUUAACUGUGAACUUGCUUCCGAUACGGGCAGACUUGAGGUAUUCAGGGGAGAACGGAAUUCCUGGUGUAGCGGUGAAAUGCGCAGAUAUCAGGAGGAACACCGGUGGCGAAGGCGGAUCUCUGGGCCUUACCUGACGCUGAGGCGCGAAAGCUAGGGGAGCGAACAGG
RNAcentral lists this ribosomal RNA (253 nucleotides) under uncultured bacterium. Its description in RNAcentral is "partial 16S ribosomal RNA". It matches the Rfam family "Bacterial small subunit ribosomal RNA", at positions 524 to 776 of the family's 1533-position model. The record is from RNAcentral.